UGCCUUUUCUCCUCGCUCAGCACUGUGCAAUAAUAAAAUUCCUACUUUCUUCCACUAUACCCGGUGUCAGAGAUUGGCUUGCUGCGCAACAGGUGAGCAAACUCACUUCAGGUUCGAUAUCAAUUUGAGAACCCAGAUGGGACAUUGUCCCAAGAAGACAUCUCGGCUGUGGCACACCAGCCUCUGGCUAAAGGCCUCUCUUGGAAGCUGACCUGCAGCUGCCUGAGCUCCUCAUCUCAAGGACAGCCCCAAGUAACUGGCUGCUAACCAGACAUUGUUGGCACAUGGCGCUUUUGCUUUGUUGGUGAAAGAAACUAUGUUCAGGAUUAGGAAGAUGUCUCUUGUAAGUAGCUUGCAGUUUUUGUUUUUGUCUUUGUGCUAACCUUUUCCAAUAGGACUGGCGGGAAUAAUGGGUACCUGGCAGCCCUCUGGGCUCAGUUUGUUUUGAAGUCACGACGCCCUGGCCAGGUGUUGGUAAGUCCCCUGGUGUGCACACCAAGGUCCCUUGUCCUUGCUCAUUUGGGAAGAUCUGCAUAGCUGAUCUUCAUUUGUUGGGUGCCCCCGGAGUGUAGGACACAGACUAAGCUGGGACUGGAAGCACUUUGGUUUUUGGUUUGGGUUUUGGUAUUUGUUUUGGCCUCUGUUUGUGGCCAAGGGUUUUUGGGAAAGCACACUUGUUUGGUCCUUGUUGUUGUUUGUCUGUUUGUCCUUUUCAAGGAGUUAACGUGGGCAGUGCUGCAUCUAUUCCACCUAAGAGCCCCUUGGGAAACACUCUGGCUGAUUGGUCGACCUAUAGCUAUAAGCCAAUGUCUAAAGAGGGAUGAUUUUCUCUAGUAACACCACGUGGCCACAAUAGUCUUCAGAUUCCAGAGGAAAAAAAAUGGCCAAAUAACCGAUCCUUAAGUUGGAAAAAAUUUUCAGAGAGUUCUCAUGAUAAACAGCUGUUUUAUUGCUACCUAUGAAAAGACCAAAUUCAAAGGGAAAUAUAAGGACUAGUCUUAAGAGCUGAAUCAAACUUGGGGUCUCAGCUGCUUCUUGUGGUCUUACAGAUUCUAAUGAAAACAUUUAGUUAACAAAGAGAAAUCAGACAGGGAAGAGGCACAGGACUCAUCCCAACAGGAUGGAAAUCUUUAGCUAGUUAUUAAAAAGAAAAAUGGGAUAAAUGGAAUAGACAUGAAUAAACUUAAAACAAAGGUUUUAAUAAAACACUGCCUAAGGUUGGAUGGGCUAAAGGGACAGCCCCCAUUGAUCCCCCAACAUUACAGGACAUCAGACAAACCUGUUCCUUUCACCCCAGUUUGAAAAAAUUAAAAAGCCAGAAGGCAGAAAUCACAAUAAAAAACCCUGACCAACAAUUGUUUGGGGAAACAGUUAGGCUACUAAGGUUGAUAAGACUAUAAAAAUUAAAAGCAUUUAAGCUGAUAUUAUAUAAAGAGGUUAUAUCAACUUUGCCUGGAUUUUUUUUGCGGGGGAAUAGAUGUUCCGUAUAAUUGGGAAUGCUUUCUCUACAUAAUAUUGUAAUACCAAAACUUGUUAAUGGAACUCUAAUAUAAGUCAUAAUUAAGGAUAUAAGAGUUGAAAAAUUAAGAUAAAAGUUUGUAAAGAUUAGUAUAUUUAAAUGGGCGUUAGUAAAAUAAUUAUAUCUCUUUUGUCUGGUUGUAUUGUAAAUUAUGUCAUGGGGAUAAACAUUAUGCCUCAUUGGGGAAUGUUUCCCCUACCUGAUAUUCUAAGAGCAUAGAAAUCCAGCUUUCAGGUAAUGUUAAUUAAACAUGCUAAAGGUGACCUCACAUUAAAAUGGCCAAAACGGGCCAAUUUCAGUUUACCCAAACUGACGUAUGCAAUUGGAAAAAGCCAGCUACAACAAUGGGAAGCCUGUUUUAAUCUUUUGAGGCUUCUAAAUAAAAUCAGAAAUACUUUACUGCCUCUUUAAGAGAAAAUAAAUAAAUAAUUAAACAUGCCAGCAGCUGAAGCCAAAUCUGCUGCUUUUCUCUGCUCUCUUGCUGAGCUUCCCUUCAAGAUGAGCUUCACUUCAACUCCCCCGAAAUUCCUGAUCUAAAAUUGAACAAAUUUAAGAAAACCUUUUUCUCUAUUCUCUUAAGGAAUUAUGAUUUCAAAAUUGAGGUAUUUAUAUUUUUCUCGCUAUCUGAGCCCUCCAAAUUGGAAAAACUCCUGAUGACCUUGCAAACUGAAGCUGGAGGACUUGAUACAAACUUAGGAGAGAUUCACGUCUGCUGCUGGGUGAGCCUCUCAGAAAGCUACCUGUGUGCCCGAUGACACCAUCAGAGACAUUGCAAACUGUGAAAGAUGCUUCAACCCUGACUUCUAGGAAUCUUGAUUGGCUGCCCCCUGGGCUCAAGAACUACUUUAUAAUUUGCUCCAACCAUGCACCUUGUUUUUCUCUUUUUGUUUCUCUAGAAAAACUUCUUAUUAAAUACCUGGUUGCUUAUUUACACAAUACAGGCCUAACGUUGGGGCCUACGUGUAUAACUACCUUAUUAAAAGACUGGUUCAGGUCCCAGCCCUGUGGCACAGCAGUUAAGUGUGCACGUUCUGCUUUGGCGGCCUGGGGUUUGCCAGUUUGAAUCCCAGGUGCGGACAUGACACCACUUGG
This is a long non-coding RNA of Equus caballus (horse), 2611 nucleotides long. RefSeq lists it as uncharacterized. The record is from RefSeq and is a predicted model, not a curated record. NCBI's taxonomy places the organism in Eukaryota, Metazoa, Chordata, Mammalia, Perissodactyla, Equidae.